UUAAGCGACUAAGCGUACACGGUGGAUGCCCUGGCAGUCAGAGGCGAUGAAGGACGUGCUAAUCUGCGAUAAGCGUCGGUAAGGUGAUAUGAACCGUUAUAACCGGCGAUUUCCGAAUGGGGAAACCCAGUGUGUUUCGACACACUAUCAUUAACUGAAUCCAUAGGUUAAUGAGGCGAACCGGGGGAACUGAAACAUCUAAGUACCCCGAGGAAAAGAAAUCAACCGAGAUUCCCCCAGUAGCGGCGAGCGAACGGGGAGCAGCCCAGAGCCUGAAUCAGUGUGUGUGUUAGUGGAAGCGUCUGGAAAGGCGCGCGAUACAGGGUGACAGCCCCGUACACAAAAAUGCACAUACUGUGAGCUCGAUGAGUAGGGCGGGACACGUGGUAUCCUGUCUGAAUAUGGGGGGACCAUCCUCCAAGGCUAAAUACUCCUGACUGACCGAUAGUGAACCAGUACCGUGAGGGAAAGGCGAAAAGAACCCCGGCGAGGGGAGUGAAAAAGAACCUGAAACCGUGUACGUACAAGCAGUGGGAGCCUCUUAAUGGGGUGACUGCGUACCUUUUGUAUAAUGGGUCAGCGACUUAUAUUCUGUAGCAAGGUUAACCGAAUAGGGGAGCCGAAGGGAAACCGAGUCUUAACUGGGCGUUAAGUUGCAGGGUAUAGACCCGAAACCCGGUGAUCUAGCCAUGGGCAGGUUGAAGGUUGGGUAACACUAACUGGAGGACCGAACCGACUAAUGUUGAAAAAUUAGCGGAUGACUUGUGGCUGGGGGUGAAAGGCCAAUCAAACCGGGAGAUAGCUGGUUCUCCCCGAAAGCUAUUUAGGUAGCGCCUCGUGAAUUCAUCUCCGGGGGUAGAGCACUGUUUCGGCAAGGGGGUCAUCCCGACUUACCAACCCGAUGCAAACUGCGAAUACCGGAGAAUGUUAUCACGGGAGACACACGGCGGGUGCUAACGUCCGUCGUGAAGAGGGAAACAACCCAGACCGCCAGCUAAGGUCCCAAAGUCAUGGUUAAGUGGGAAACGAUGUGGGAAGGCCCAGACAGCCAGGAUGUUGGCUUAGAAGCAGCCAUCAUUUAAAGAAAGCGUAAUAGCUCACUGGUCGAGUCGGCCUGCGCGGAAGAUGUAACGGGGCUAAACCAUGCACCGAAGCUGCGGCAGCGACACUAUGUGUUGUUGGGUAGGGGAGCGUUCUGUAAGCCUGUGAAGGUGUACUGUGAGGUAUGCUGGAGGUAUCAGAAGUGCGAAUGCUGACAUAAGUAACGAUAAAGCGGGUGAAAAGCCCGCUCGCCGGAAGACCAAGGGUUCCUGUCCAACGUUAAUCGGGGCAGGGUGAGUCGACCCCUAAGGCGAGGCCGAAAGGCGUAGUCGAUGGGAAACAGGUUAAUAUUCCUGUACUUGGUGUUACUGCGAAGGGGGGACGGAGAAGGCUAUGUUGGCCGGGCGACGGUUGUCCCGGUUUAAGCGUGUAGGCUGGUUUUCCAGGCAAAUCCGGAAAAUCAAGGCUGAGGCGUGAUGACGAGGCACUACGGUGCUGAAGCAACAAAUGCCCUGCUUCCAGGAAAAGCCUCUAAGCAUCAGGUAACAUCAAAUCGUACCCCAAACCGACACAGGUGGUCAGGUAGAGAAUACCAAGGCGCUUGAGAGAACUCGGGUGAAGGAACUAGGCAAAAUGGUGCCGUAACUUCGGGAGAAGGCACGCUGAUAUGUAGGUGAAGUCCCUUGCGGAUGGAGCUGAAAUCAGUCGAAGAUACCAGCUGGCUGCAACUGUUUAUUAAAAACACAGCACUGUGCAAACACGAAAGUGGACGUAUACGGUGUGACGCCUGCCCGGUGCCGGAAGGUUAAUUGAUGGGGUUAGCGGUAACGCGAAGCUCUUGAUCGAAGCCCCGGUAAACGGCGGCCGUAACUAUAACGGUCCUAAGGUAGCGAAAUUCCUUGUCGGGUAAGUUCCGACCUGCACGAAUGGCGUAAUGAUGGCCAGGCUGUCUCCACCCGAGACUCAGUGAAAUUGAACUCGCUGUGAAGAUGCAGUGUACCCGCGGCAAGACGGAAAGACCCCGUGAACCUUUACUAUAGCUUGACACUGAACAUUGAGCCUUGAUGUGUAGGAUAGGUGGGAGGCUUUGAAGUGUGGACGCCAGUCUGCAUGGAGCCGGCCUUGAAAUACCACCCUUUAAUGUUUGAUGUUCUAACGUUGGCCCCUUACCGGGGUUGCGGACAGUGUCUGGUGGGUAGUUUGACUGGGGCGGUCUCCUCCUAAAGAGUAACGGAGGAGCACGAAGGUUGGCUAAUCCUGGUCGGACAUCAGGAGGUUAGUGCAAUGGCAUAAGCCAGCUUGACUGCGAGCGUGACGGCGCGAGCAGGUGCGAAAGCAGGUCAUAGUGAUCCGGUGGUUCUGAAUGGAAGGGCCAUCGCUCAACGGAUAAAAGGUACUCCGGGGAUAACAGGCUGAUACCGCCCAAGAGUUCAUAUCGACGGCGGUGUUUGGCACCUCGAUGUCGGCUCAUCACAUCCUGGGGCUGAAGUAGGUCCCAAGGGUAUGGCUGUUCGCCAUUUAAAGUGGUACGCGAGCUGGGUUUAGAACGUCGUGAGACAGUUCGGUCCCUAUCUGCCGUGGGCGCUGGAGAACUGAGGGGGGCUGCUCCUAGUACGAGAGGACCGGAGUGGACGCAUCACUGGUGUUCGGGUUGUCAUGCCAAUGGCACUGCCCGGUAGCUAAAUGCGGAAGAGAUAAGUGCUGAAAGCAUCUAAGCACGAAACUUGCCCCGAGAUGAGUUCUCCCUGACUCUUUAAGGGUCCUGAAGGAACGUUGAAGACGACGACGUUAAUAGGCCGGGUGUGUAAGCGCAGCGAUGCGUUGAGCUAACCGGUACUAAUGAACCGUGAGGCUUAACCU
Molecule: ribosomal RNA, 2901 nt
Filed under: Escherichia coli
Lineage: Bacteria; Pseudomonadati; Pseudomonadota; Gammaproteobacteria; Enterobacterales; Enterobacteriaceae
Description: 23S ribosomal RNA
Rfam family: Bacterial large subunit ribosomal RNA
Source: RNAcentral